CUUCUUUCCUCCCGACCCCUCUGUCCUCCCGUCCCCUCAUCCCCUGCGCCGCCGGCCCUUACCACCGCUGCCCCUACCCUGCACCGGCGGCCCUCUGCAGCGCCGCCGCCCUGGGCUCCCGGCCUCGGUCCUCCUUGCCGAUUCGCGCCCGGAUCUGCGACAGAAUCGCGCCGCCGCCCCUUAUCGCUGCCGCCCCUACCCUACGCCGGCGACCCUCUGCAGCGCCGCUACCGUGGGCUCCCGGCGUCGCUCCUCCGUGCCUUUUUUUUUGCUAUGCAGAGCAGUCAGUGAAGGUCUACUGCUGUCGCCGCCCUAGAACAGCAGCGCCGCUGGACCCUAUUGGCGCCCCUGCCGGAGCAGCUCCGCACCGCCGCACUGAACCUGUUGGUAUGCUGCAGAUUAGUGGCGUCAUGGUCUAAGAUACUUAGAAAAAAUGAGAUGUAUUAGUCUGAGAUUAGUGGUCUGUGCAGAUUAGUGGUCUGUGCUGGAACAUGUAUUGGUAUAUUAUGAUAUUAAUCUAUUUGAUCUAAUAGUAAUACAAUUAUGUAGUUAAGAUACUUAGAGAAUAUAAGAAUUAUUGAAUUCUA
Panicum virgatum (switchgrass) is the source of this 587-nucleotide long non-coding RNA. RefSeq lists it as uncharacterized. The transcript is spliced from 2 exons. NCBI's taxonomy places the organism in Eukaryota, Viridiplantae, Streptophyta, Magnoliopsida, Poales, Poaceae. The record is from RefSeq and is a predicted model, not a curated record.